GAACUUCCUCAUUACUAUAAUUUACAGCCGUCUAUGAAUUUAUGAUAUAAGUACUGUUGCUUUCUCUAACAUAUUUCGUUUAAUUGCAUCGUUUUUCUUUUAUAGAUCCAAACGUCGAGCUGAACAAAGAGAGCCUUGUAUAAUGGAGGCAAGAAAAUGAUGGGGGGUCGAUAUUGUGCCGGCAUUUGAAAACUUCUUUGACUGAAUAUAUUGAAAACUAAAAUUCACUUCAUGUCACGUUUAAAUAUUCAACUUAUCUUAAACGAAGUUAUUGUAUAUCAUAUUCAUGUCACCUUGAAUCGAAGUUUUAAUUUGUUUGAACUUUAAUAGAAUUCGAUCUUACGCUAUUUAACUUUCAGAAUUUUUUAUCGUUAAUUAAUUCAGAUUUACAAUAACAAUAUAUAAUUGACACCCGAACAUUACAACUAAUUAAGAUUUAACUCUUUAGCUUUAUAUGGGUAUGACAUGCACAACUAAAAAGCCGCGUGGCGUUGAUUAUGUUGACAUUUUUGUUUGACAACUACUUUCAUAGAGUAUAAAAGUAACAUAAAUACAAGUUAACUUCUACAUCGAUGUUCACGAUGAUCUACAA
Long non-coding RNA from Xenia sp. Carnegie-2017, 592 nucleotides. RefSeq lists it as uncharacterized. The transcript has 2 exons. NCBI's taxonomy places the organism in Eukaryota, Metazoa, Cnidaria, Anthozoa, Malacalcyonacea, Xeniidae. The record is from RefSeq and is a predicted model, not a curated record.